This 329-nucleotide ribosomal RNA is filed under the name uncultured eukaryote. Its description in RNAcentral is "partial 18S ribosomal RNA". It matches the Rfam family "Eukaryotic small subunit ribosomal RNA", at positions 1470 to 1795 of the family's 1831-position model. The record is from RNAcentral.
CCCUUAGAUGUUCUGGGCCGCACGCGCGCUACACUGAUGCAUUCAACGAGUCUAAAACCUGGUCUGAUAGGGCUGGGUAAUCUUUUGAAAGUGCAUCGUGAUUGGGAUAGAUGAUUGCAAUUCUUCAUCUUCAACGAGGAAUGCCUAGUAAACGCAAGUCAUCAGCUUGCAUUGAUUACGUCCCUGCCCUUUGUACACACCGCCCGUCGCUCCUACCGAUUGAAUGAUCCGAUGAAUACCAUGGAUUGAGAGUACGAAUGGGUUCGCUCAUUUCUGCUGCUCGAGAAGUGGAGUAAAUCUUAUCAUUUAGAGGAAGGAGAAGUCGUAAC